UAUAUCGGUCAAAUAUACAUAGACAUGAUAACAAUAGGUUUAAUUCAGGCUAUUUUGUUAUUUCCAUGAAAGGGGAAUGAGUCACUGGGUCUAAUGAAGCCUGGCCGCUGAGACAGCAGGGAUUAGUUAUGAUGACUGGAUGAAUGAGCAGUUCACGUUCACAUGCCCACUGCUCUCGCGUUCAUCAACACUUCCUACGCGGUAUUUCAUUAUCCUCCGGGCAUCGUGAACACUCCCGAUCCACAUCCUUUGGAGACACUAACCCGCCGCCUGUAAACGCGUGUUAACGAGGGUUCAUUGCACAACACUGCAGACACAAACGCUUCCAGUUCCUCUUGUGACCGCGGGUUUCGGACCAUCUGUCCGCACCGACGCUGCAGCCUGACGGUCGACCACCACUCAGCGAGGGGAUCCCGGAACUUCACCGACACGUUCCUUAGCAGAGAUCUGGACCCCGCGGAGGUCUUCAGACCCUCCAGAACACGGUAUGUUCACCCUGACCGAGGUGGCCUCCCUGAACGACAUCCAGCCUACAUAUAAGAUCCUGAAGCCAUGGUGGGACGUGUUCAUGGACUACCUGGGUGUGGUCAUGCUAAUGCUGGCCAUCUUUGCGGGGACCAUGCAGCUGACCAAAGACCAGGUGGUCUGCCUGCCCAUCCUGGAGGAGGCGCCGGAGGCCCCCGGUGGCGGCGGACAUUUUGACGUCCACUCCGCCCCUCUGGACGCAGCCGCCGCGCUAUUGGCCGACGGCCGACCGGCGGACGUCUUCCGGAAGUACGUCUUCGGCGAGCCGGUGGAGGUGGGCUUCCCCGAGCCCACGGGCGUGCGGACGGCGCUGGACUUCCAGCAGUACGUCUUCGUGAACCAGAUGUGCUACCACGUGGCGCUGCCCUGGUACUCCAAGUACUUCCCCUACCUGGCGCUCAUCCACACCAUCGUGCUCAUGGUCAGCAGCAACUUCUGGUUCAAGUACCCCAAGACCAGCUCCAAGAUCGAGCACUUUGUCUCCAUCCUGGGCAAGUGCUUCGAGUCGCCGUGGACGACCAAGGCGCUGUCGGAGACGGCGUGCGAGCACUCGGAGGAGAACAAGCAGCGGCUGGUCGGGCCCUCCUCGCUGCCCAAACACUUCUCCACCAGCAGCGAGGAGGGCAGCCCCAACCAGUCCGUCCCCGCCACGCUGGUCAAGUCUAGCGUCCAGUUCUCCGUGGAGAAGCUGGUGAUCGAGGUGCCCGCGAUGACAAUCCUGGACAAGAAGGACGGGGAGCAAGCCAAGGCGCUGUUCGAGAAGGUCCGGAAGUUCCGGGCUCACGUGGAGGACAGCGACCUGAUCUACAAGCUCUACGUCGCGCAGACGGUCAUCAAGACGGUCAAGUUCAUCCUCAUCCUAUGCUACACCAUGACCUUUGUCGCCGCCAUCAAUUUCGCCCACGUGUGCGAGCCGGAGAUUAAACACUUAACCGGCUACUCGAAGUUCCAGUGUACGCACAACAUGGCGUUCAUGUUGAAGAAGCUGCUGGUCAGCUACAUCGCCCUCAUCUGCGUGUACGGCAUGGUCUGCAUCUACACGCUGUUCUGGCUAUUCCGCCGGCCCCUGAAGGAGUACUCCUUCGAGAAGGUGCGGGAAGAGAGCAGCUUCAGCGACAUACCGGACGUCAAGAACGACUUUGCGUUCCUCCUGCACAUGGUGGACCAGUACGACCAGCUGUACUCGAAGCGCUUCGGCGUCUUCCUGUCCGAGGUCAGCGAGAACAAGCUCCGUGAGAUCAGCCUGAACCACGAGUGGACCUUCGAGAAGCUGCGGCAGCACGUCACGCGGAACGCUGCGGAGAAGCUGGAGCUGCACCUCUUCAUGCUGUCCGGGGUCCCGGACGCCGUGUUUGACCUCACCGACCUGGAGAUCCUCCGGCUGGAGCUCAUCCCCGAGGCCAGGAUAACGGCCAAGAUCUCGCAGAUGACCAACCUCCACGAGCUACACCUCUACCACUGCCCCGCCAAGGUGGAGCAGACCGCCUUCGUGUUCCUCCGAGACCACCUCCGCUGCCUCCACGUCAAGUUCACGGAUGUGGCCGAGAUCCCCACCUGGGUGUACCUGUUGAAGAGUCUGAGGGAGAUGUAUCUGGUGGGCAACCUGAACUCGGAGAACAACAAGAUGAUCGGGCUGGAGUCCCUGCGAGACCUCCGCCACCUGAAGACCCUGCACCUCAAGAGCAACCUGACCAAGAUCCCCACCAACAUCACGGACCUGUCGCCCCACCUCGUCAAGCUGGUGGUGGACAACGACGGGACCAAGCUCCUGGUGCUCAACAGCCUCAAGAAGAUGAUGAACCUGGCCGAGCUGGAGCUCCACAACUGCGAGCUGGAGCGGAUCCCUCACGCCAUCUUCAGUCUGACCAACCUGCAGGAGCUGCACCUGAAGUCCAACAACAUCCGGAGCAUCGAGGAGGUCAUCAGCUUCCAGCACCUCAAGAGGCUCACCUGCCUCAAGCUCUCCCACAACAAGAUCAUCAGCAUCCCGCUGUCCAUCAGCCACGUGAAGAACCUGGAGUCGCUCUACCUCUCGCACAACAAGCUGGAGUCCCUGCCCUCGUCGCUCUUCAACCUGCCCAAGCUGCGCUAUCUGGACGUGGGCCACAACUCCAUCGUGGUCAUCCCGCUGGAGGUGGGCUUCCUGCAGAGCCUCCAGUACUUCGCCAUCUCCGGCAACAAGGUUGAGGUGGUGCCCAAGCAGCUCUUCAAGUGCACCAAACUGAGGACCCUGAACCUCGGCCACAACUGCAUCUCCACCGUCCCCGAGAAGAUCGGCCAGCUGGCGCAGCUGACGCAGCUGGAGCUGAAGGGGAACUGCCUGGACCGCCUGCCCCUCCAGCUGGGGCAGUGUGUGCUGCUCCGCCGGAGCGGCCUGGUGGUGGAGGACCACCUCUUCGACUCGCUGCCCCUGGAGGUCAAGGAGAGCAUCAACCAGGAGUCGGGCGUCCCGUUUGCCAACGGGGUUUGAGGAGCGACCAGGCAGCUUCUGAGUUUAGGAUUUUUGGGGGGAACGAAGAGUGUUAUUGAAGAGUAAGCAAACAAAUGAUACCGAACUUUAGAUACAGCCCCGCUGAUUGGCUCACAAGAGUUCAGAGGAAUGAGUUCCCGGUGAGAUAUGGCUUGGCUCAGGUUGGAUAAGGGUGGCCAUCACUGUAUUCAGUGGACCACUGUACUCAUAUGCCCUGUAUAUACCUGUUCCUGCUUCUGUUGUUUCUUCGACAGUUUUCAUUGUUUUUUUCUUGGGAUUUGUUCCCUUUGUGUUUUGUCAGAUCACUUUGUUAAAGAUAGAUACUUGAAUUGUUUUUUAGUUUUUUUUACCACCCUUAUUUUAUGAUUUGUUUUUGAUACCAUUAGACACUGCAUAGCCCUACCGCCACAAUAAUAUUUGCUUCUUAUUUUAUUAAUGCUGUUUUGUCUUCUAGUGGUUUUCAUAGGCACUGUUUUUAGGGGUACGCCAGCUUGUCAAAGUGUAGGUGUGAGCUACAGUUUGAGCUAGUUUGAGGUACAGUGUAACAAUUAGUUAGGUACAGUGUGAGCUACAGUGAGAUACAGUUCUGACCUACAGUUUGCUACAGCGAGGUACAGUGAGGUACAGUAAGAUACAGUGUGAGCUUCAUGUUGAGCUACAGUGAGUACAGGUUGAGCUACAGUGAGGUACAGUGAGGUACAGGUUGAGCUACAGUGAGGUACAGGUUGAGCUACAGUGAGGUACAGGUUGAGCUACAGUGAGGUACAGGUUGAGCUACAGUGAGGUACAGGUUGAGCUACAGUGAGUACAGGUUGAGCUACAGUGAGGUACAGGUUGAGCUACAGUGAGGUACAGGUUGAGCUGCAGUGUGAGAUAGAGGGUGAGUGACUGCCCCAGCCGACCUCCGGACACUGGUCAGACCGCACCCCCCAGCUCCAGCGCCCGGCUCCACUUCCUCAGCUCGACGCCUGGUACCGCCAAACGUGAGAUCGAGCAAAGGUUGCACGACAAAGUCAAACCUCUUCUCUUUUAGCACCGCGGCGGUGGAGCGAGCUCCCUGCCGACGUCAGGACCGCAGAGUCGCUGAGCAGCUCCCACAGGAGACUGAAGACUCGCGUGUUCAGAGCUCCCCAGGAUGCUGCGUUCCCUCCCGCCUUACCCAACCCAUCGCCCCGUCGCCUCACUUACUGCCCGAAAUACACCUCUUUUACACACCUAUGGUACGUUUGUGUGUCCUGGCACUUUAUGUACGCACUAAUUGUAUGUUAUACAUCCUGGCACUUAAAAAUAGAACUUGGCAUCGUGUAGCAUCUAAUCCUACCUAUCUUUGUUGAAUACGGGGAAUGGAUUAAUUUAGCAAUUUUAAGUCCUUGGCACUUGUUCUAUGAACAUCCUUAUUGUACCGACAGCGAUAUAUAUAGUUGUUUCCCUUUCUUCAGACAAAUGUACUCAUUGUAAGUGGCUUUGGAUAAAAGCGUCUGCUAUGCCCUUAAUGUCAAUGUAAAUGUAUUUAGUCCUCACCUCUUUAAAUCUAGAAAUCCAAGAGAAAACUUGAGACUUUGUUGAAAUCAUUUUUUGCACAAACACCAUUUUGAACGAUUAUAAACAUUUGCAGCAAAACCAACAA
This is an RNA transcript of Gadus macrocephalus (Pacific cod), 4622 nucleotides long. It is a transcript of the gene named leucine rich repeat containing 8 VRAC subunit Db, with no coding region annotated. The transcript is spliced from 5 exons. The record is from RefSeq and is a predicted model, not a curated record. NCBI's taxonomy places the organism in Eukaryota, Metazoa, Chordata, Actinopteri, Gadiformes, Gadidae.